This 497-nucleotide ribosomal RNA is filed under the name uncultured bacterium. RNAcentral's name for it is "partial 16S ribosomal RNA". It matches the Rfam family "Bacterial small subunit ribosomal RNA", at positions 28 to 507 of the family's 1533-position model. The record is from RNAcentral.
GAUGAACGCUGGCGGCGUGCCUAAUACAUGCAAGUCGAGCGAACAGACGAGGAGCUUGCUCCUCUGACGUUAGCGGCGGACGGGUGAGUAACACGUGGAUAACCUACCUAUAAGACUGGGAUAACUUCGGGAAACCGGAGCUAAUACCGGAUAAUAUAUUGAACCGCAUGGUUCAUUAGUGAAAGACGGUUUUGCUGUCACUUAUAGAUGGAUCCGCGCCGCAUUAGCUAGUUGGUAAGGUAACGGCUUACCAAGGCAACGAUGCGUAGCCGACCUGAGAGGGUGAUCCGCCACACUGGAACUGAGACACGGUCCAGACUCCUACGGGAGGCAGCAGUAGGGAAUCUUCCGCAAUGGGCGAAAGCCUGACGGAGCAACGCCGCGUGAGUGAUGAAGGUCUUCGGAUCGUAAAACUCUUUUAUUAGGGAAGAACAAAAGUGUAAGAAACUAUGCACGUCUUGACGGUACCUAAUCAGAAAGCCACGGCUAACUACGUG